UUUUCCUCUCAGUUUAGUAUACUUUUGGGAUCCUUUUUGUACCUUUUUUAUAUGGAGGUUGAGCCUAUAGGCUGUUAGUAGAAAUCUGUAAAUUUGUAGGUCUGAUUCUCUAGACCGUUAGGCCACAUUCUGACCAUUUAAUGGGAGAGGAACUUUGCCAGUAUGAGUAGCCGAGUCAAUAACUUUGAAUCCACAUCUAGUGUGACUUCACCGAAUCAUUUUCGAUGUGCCCCAA
Molecule: long non-coding RNA, 235 nt
Filed under: Elaeis guineensis (African oil palm)
Lineage: Eukaryota; Viridiplantae; Streptophyta; Magnoliopsida; Arecales; Arecaceae
Description: long non-coding RNA (EGUI_LNC002999)
Source: RNAcentral